CACGCCGUAAACGAUGAGUGCUAAGUGUNGGGGGGUUUCCGCCCCUCAGUGCUGCAGCUAACGCAUUAAGCACUCCGCCUGGGGAGUACGGUCGCAAGACUGAAACUCAAAGGAAUUGACGGGGGCCCGCACAAGCGGUGGAGNAUGUGGUUUANUUCGAAGCAACGCGAAGANCCUUACCAGGUCUUGACAUCCCAUUGNCCACUGUAGAGAUACAGUUUUCCCUUCGGGGACAACGGUGACAGGUGGUGNAUGGUUGUCGNCAGCUCGUGUCGNGANAUGUUGGGUUAAGUCCCGCAACGAGCGCANCCCUUGAUCUUAGUUGACAUCAUUUAGUUGGACACUCUAAGGUGACUGCCGGUGACAANCCGGAGGAAGGUGGGGAUGACGUCANAUCAUCA
RNAcentral lists this ribosomal RNA (401 nucleotides) under unidentified low G+C gram-positive bacterium RS20. Its description in RNAcentral is "partial 16S ribosomal RNA". It matches the Rfam family "Bacterial small subunit ribosomal RNA", at positions 796 to 1195 of the family's 1533-position model. Lineage: Bacteria; Bacillati; Bacillota. The record is from RNAcentral.